Molecule: ribosomal RNA, 495 nt
Filed under: uncultured bacterium
Lineage: Bacteria
Description: partial 16S ribosomal RNA
Rfam family: Bacterial small subunit ribosomal RNA
Source: RNAcentral
GACGAACGCUGGCGGCGUGCCUAAUACAUGCAAGUAGAACGCUGAAGGAGGAGCUUGCUCUUCUGGAUGAGUUGCGAACGGGUGAGUAACGCGUAGGUAACCUGCCUGGUAGCGGGGGAUAACUAUUGGAAACGAUAGCUAAUACCGCAUAAGAGUAGAUGUUGCAUGACAUUUACUUAAAAGGUGCAAUUGCAUCACUACCAGAUGGACCUGCGUUGUAUUAGCUAGUUGGUGGGGUAACGGCUUACCAAGGCGACGAUACAUAGCCGACCUGCGAGGGUGAUCGGCCACGCUGGGCCUGGAACACGGCCCAGAAUACUACGGGAGGCAGAAGUAGGGAAUCUUCAGCAAUGGAAGGAAGUCUGAACGAGCAACGCCGCGUGAGUGAAGAAGGUUUUCGGAUCGUAAAGCUCUGUUGUAAGAGAAGAACGAGUGUGAGAGUGGAAAGUUAACACUGUGACGGUAUCUUACCAGAAAGGGACGGCUAACUACGUG